Molecule: long non-coding RNA, 489 nt
Organism: Xiphophorus couchianus (Monterrey platyfish)
Lineage: Eukaryota; Metazoa; Chordata; Actinopteri; Cyprinodontiformes; Poeciliidae
Exons: 3
Source: RefSeq, a predicted model, not a curated record
AAAAUCUAGCGACUUCUUUUUGUGUUAUCUGAGACUUUGGCAACAACACGAAACGGUCUGCAGUAACUGUCCUUCCUGACUGAGAAUCAAGUUCUGACUGAUCCACAAUGGAAAAUGCAUAGGAUGAUGGAGCGAAUGCCUCUGGAGGUUCAUCGGGUCCUGCAGCCAAACUCUCUGCAGGAAUGCUGGCUGAAACCAAGGCAAGCCGCAGAAAGCCUGCAAUCCGGCUGCACAACUUUCUCUCCUUUAUUUUAAUUACAAUCCAAAUGUCAAAGCCAGAGAUUAAUUUCAUUUAAUUCAUGCCUGAAGCCUGCAGCUUGUGUAAUCCUUCAGCAAAGGUUGAAUAUGUGAAGCACCUGAUGUUUUUGUUUUUUAGAAAAUGUCUGAUUCAUUCCUCCAGGUAGACUUAGGGAUUCACUACUCGCUUAUGAGAGCAGGCUCAAAACAACCACCUGUUAUCAUGUAAAUAAAUAACUAAAUAAAUAAAUA